RNAcentral lists this ribosomal RNA (404 nucleotides) under uncultured prokaryote. Its description in RNAcentral is "bacterial SSU rRNA". It matches the Rfam family "Bacterial small subunit ribosomal RNA", at positions 355 to 776 of the family's 1533-position model. The record is from RNAcentral. RNAcentral also lists the same sequence under 1 other name.
UGGGGAAUAUUGCACAAUGGGGGAAACCCUGAUGCAGCGACGCCGCGUGAGUGAAGAAGUAUUUCGGUAUGUAAAGCUCUAUCAGCAGGGAAGAAAAUGACGGUACCUGACUAAGAAGCCCCGGCUAACUACGUGCCAGCAGCCGCGGUAAUACGUAGGGGGCAAGCGUUAUCCGGUUUUACUGGGUGUAAAGGGAGCGUAGACGGCUUUGUAAGUCUGAUGUGAAAGCCCGGGGCUCAACUCCGGAAUUGCAUUGGAAACUAUAGAGCUAGAGUGCAGGAGAGGUAAGCGGAAUUCCUAGUGUAGCGGUGAAAUGCGUAGAUAUUAGGAGGAACACCAGUGGCGAAGGCGGCUUACUGGACUGUAACUGACGUUGAGGCUCGAAAGCGUGGGGAGCAAACAGG